CUCCAUAAAAGUUGGAAACUUUUCAAAAAAAGGAACAAGAAAUGACACAACCCAUGGGCAAACACAUGUCAAAUAAAUAACUGCCCCGGAACUGAGAGCCCAGCAGAUGGAAAUAGUCCGGGUGAACUGGGAGCGAGCGAAACGCGGAUUCAAUGUCCGACUUCGCAAGAAGGACCCCCGAUCCCGCUUCCUGAACCAAGUCCAACACUCUGUCAAAGGAGGCAUAACAGACUCUCGAAACCUCCUUAUCAAUUUCAUCAUUCACCGACCCGCCCGAAGGGUAUCACAGGUGGUGAACGGAAUGAGAUGA
This is a non-coding RNA of Pelobates cultripes (western spadefoot toad), 310 nucleotides long. Lineage: Eukaryota; Metazoa; Chordata; Amphibia; Anura; Pelobatidae. The record is from the annotation of a GenBank genome assembly.